RNAcentral lists this ribosomal RNA (343 nucleotides) under Caccobius sp. SM-2012. Its description in RNAcentral is "partial 16S ribosomal RNA". Lineage: Eukaryota; Metazoa; Arthropoda; Insecta; Coleoptera; Scarabaeidae. The record is from RNAcentral.
AAAGUCCGACCUGCCCUAUGAUAAAAUUUUAUUAAAUGGCCGCGAUAUUUUGAUCGUGCAAAGGUAGCAUAAUAAUUAGUUUUUUAAUUAAGAACUGGUAUGAAAGGUUAAACGAAAAAAAAACUGUCUCAAUUUAAAUUAAAUUAGAAUUUUAUAUUUAAGUAAAAAAGCUUAAAUAUUUUUAAAAGACGAGAAGACCCUAUAGAGUUUUAUAUUUAUUGAUUUAUUUUUUAGUUUAAGAAUUUAAUUUUAAAAUAUUUUAAUAGUUAUUUGGUUGGGGUGAUUAAAAAAUUAAAUAAACUUUUUUUAUAUUAAAAACAUUGAUUUAUGAAAAAAUGAUCCA